Molecule: long non-coding RNA, 595 nt
Organism: Drosophila obscura
Lineage: Eukaryota; Metazoa; Arthropoda; Insecta; Diptera; Drosophilidae
Exons: 3
Source: RefSeq, a predicted model, not a curated record
AAUGCGACGCUUGCGUGUCAUAAAGCGUACACAUUCCUGGCGCAGCUCAUAGUGCAGAUGCUGGGUGUCGUACAUCUGCUCGGCAAUCACACGGAACAAGCUGGAGGCGUCGCGGGCCGUGUGCUUGCGAUAGAGACCGUGACAUUCCAGAUAUUGGUCAAAUGGAUCUGGUGCCUGGCGGCUGCCCGAGAACAACCCACUGGAAUCGGAAGGCGAAAAAUACUCAAAACGUUGCAAGCAACUAAAAUUCCACAAUUCCACACAGGCAACGGUGCUUUGCCUCGCAAUUCCAGCGUAUAAGUGCGCUAAAAAGAGACGACGAUAUGUACCAUCGUCAAUGUAUACACAUUUUCAACAUGGCGCCGGUGCACAAAGCAAAGACAAAUGGAGAUCAUCAAAAAAUGUUAUACUUGACGCCAAAUUGUAUUAACAGGGGCAAUUAAUUACAAACUGCGAUACCGGUCGAAAAAACACAAAAAACUAACUAAAUAUAAAAUGAACUAGCCGGAAUAAGAAUAACUAGCUGGCACACACGUAGGGAGAGUGGGCAAAAAAAUAUAUGUAACGAAAAUGUUAAAAAAAUUACACGAAACAA